GCCCGUGCGGAGGGCCUAAACAUGCAGUCGAGCGGUAGCACAGAGAGCUUGCUCUCGGGUGACGAGCGGCGGACGGGUGAGUAAUGUCUGGGAAACUGCCUGAUGGAGGGGGAUAACUACUGGAAACGGUAGCUAAUACCGCAUAAUGUCGCAAGACCAAAGUGGGGGACCUUCGGGCCUCAUGCCAUCAGAUGUGCCCAGAUGGGAUUAGCUAGUAGGUGGGGUAACGGCUCACCUAGGCGACGAUCCCUAGCUGGUCUGAGAGGAUGACCAGCCACACUGGAACUGAGACACGGUCCAGACUCCUACGGGAGGCAGCAGUGGGGAAUAUUGCACAAUGGGCGCAAGCCUGAUGCAGCCAUGCCGCGUGUAUGAAGAAGGCCUUCGGGUUGUAAAGUACUUUCAGCGGGGAGGAAGGCGAUAAGGUUAAUAACCUUGUCGAUUGACGUUACCCGCAGAAGAAGCACCGGCUAACUCCGUGCCAGCAGCCGCGGUAAUACGGAGGGUGCAAGCGUUAAUCGGAAUUACUGGGCGUAAAGCGCACGCAGGCGGUCUGUCAAGUCGGAUGUGAAAUCCCCGGGCUCAACCUGGGAACUGCAUUCGAAACUGGCAGGCUAGAGUCUUGUAGAGGGGGGUAGAAUUCCAGGUGUAGCGGUGAAAUGCGUAGAGAUCUGGAGGAAUACCGGUGGCGAAGGCGGCCCCCUGGACAAAGACUGACGCUCAGGUGCGAAAGCGUGGGGAGCAAACAGGAUUAGAUACCCUGGUAGUCCACGCCGUAAACGAUGUCGAUUUGGAGGUUGUGCCCUUGAGGCGUGGCUUCCGGAGCUAACGCGUUAAAUCGACCGCCUGGGGAGUACGGCCGCAAGGUUAAAACUCAAAUGAAUUGACGGGGGCCCGCACAAGCGGUGGAGCAUGUGGUUUAAUUCGAUGCAACGCGAAGAACCUUACCUGGUCUUGACAUCCACAGAACUUACCAGAGAUGGCUUGGUGCCUUCGGGAACUGUGAGACAGGUGCUGCAUGGCUGUCGUCAGCUCGUGUUGUGAAAUGUUGGGUUAAGUCCCGCAACGAGCGCAACCCUUAUCCUUUGUUGCCAGCGGUUCGGCCGGGAACUCAAAGGAGACUGCCAGUGAUAAACUGGAGGAAGGUGGGGAUGACGUCAAGUCAUCAUGGCCCUUACGACCAGGGCUACACACGUGCUACAAUGGCAUAUACAAAGAGAAGCGACCUCGCGAGAGCAAGCGGACCUCAUAAAGUAUGUCGUAGUCCGGAUUGGAGUCUGCAACUCGACUCCAUGAAGUCGGAAUCGCUAGUAAUCGUAGAUCAGAAUGCUACGGUGAAUACGUUCCCGGGCCUUGUACACACCGCCCGUCACACCAUGGGAGUGGGUUGCAAAAGAAGUAGGUAGCUUAACCUUCGGGAGGGCGCUACCACUUUUUGAAUUCCAAAAAGG
This 1451-nucleotide ribosomal RNA is filed under the name Enterobacteriaceae bacterium G2-5. Its description in RNAcentral is "bacterial SSU rRNA". It matches the Rfam family "Bacterial small subunit ribosomal RNA". The record is from RNAcentral. Lineage: Bacteria; Pseudomonadati; Pseudomonadota; Gammaproteobacteria; Enterobacterales; Enterobacteriaceae.